CUCCCCUCCUCGUCCUCGGCGGCGGCGGCGGCGGCCGCAUGUGUGGAUUUUUUUUUUCCCUCUCCCUCUUCUCUUCUUUUUUUUUUCCUCCGAGUUUUAUUCGUGGGAUUUUUUUUUUCAGUUGAGGAGAAGAGAAGGGAAGGAGAAAGAGAGAGAGCGUGUGAGGUUGGGUGGGUGGGUAGUUCGGCGGAAGGAAGGGGAAGGGAGAGCGUGGGAAGGGUGAAGUGGGAGUGGCGGUGCGCGUGACGAAGAGGGGGCGGGGUGUUAUGUGGAUGGUGUGGCUCUGCCGCCCCCCAUGCCAUCUGCCUGCUCUCUGCUACUGCCAUCUCCGUUGAUUUUUUUUUUUUGUGUUUUUUUAACUAUGAAAAGGUAGUGAUAGUAUUUUUGUUACUU
RNAcentral lists this long non-coding RNA (393 nucleotides) under Oryza brachyantha (malo sina). RNAcentral's name for it is "long non-coding RNA (OBRA_LNC000784)". The record is from RNAcentral. Lineage: Eukaryota; Viridiplantae; Streptophyta; Magnoliopsida; Poales; Poaceae.